Leptonychotes weddellii (Weddell seal) is the source of this 142-nucleotide non-coding RNA. NCBI's taxonomy places the organism in Eukaryota, Metazoa, Chordata, Mammalia, Carnivora, Phocidae. The record is from RefSeq and is a predicted model, not a curated record.
AACUAUACAGUGGCAGUAUCGUAGCCAAUGAGGUUUAUCCGAGGCGUGAUUAUUGCUAAUUGAAAACUUUUCCUAAUUAUACAUCUUUUAAAGAUACAUAGAGAAUUAUCUAAGCAAUCCCAGUAAUUUAAAAAAAAAGAUU